Molecule: signal recognition particle RNA, 100 nt
Filed under: Buchnera aphidicola (Thelaxes californica)
Lineage: Bacteria; Pseudomonadati; Pseudomonadota; Gammaproteobacteria; Enterobacterales; Erwiniaceae
Description: signal recognition particle sRNA small type
Rfam family: Bacterial small signal recognition particle RNA
About the family: The signal recognition particle (SRP) is a universally conserved ribonucleoprotein involved in the co-translational targeting of proteins to membranes. Archaeal SRP consists of a 7S RNA and homologues of the eukaryotic SRP19 and SRP54 proteins. In most bacteria, the SRP consists of a 4.5S RNA and the Ffh protein (a homologue of the eukaryotic SRP54 protein).
Source: RNAcentral
UGUUAGAACUGUAAUACUAUUCUGUUGAAAUACCCCGGUCAGGUUCGGAAGAAAGCAGCCAAAUUCAAUGUGUAUAGGUAUUAUUAUGUCGCUAGCAGAG